This 463-nucleotide ribosomal RNA is filed under the name Vreelandella stevensii. RNAcentral's name for it is "partial 16S ribosomal RNA". It matches the Rfam family "Bacterial small subunit ribosomal RNA", at positions 338 to 795 of the family's 1533-position model. Lineage: Bacteria; Pseudomonadati; Pseudomonadota; Gammaproteobacteria; Oceanospirillales; Halomonadaceae. The record is from RNAcentral.
CCUAGGGUGGCUGCAGUGGGGAAUAUUGGACAAUGGGCGAAAGCCUGAUCCAGCCAUGCCGCGUGUGUGAAGAAGGCCUUCGGGUUGUAAAGCACUUUCAGUGGGGAAGAAAGCCUUGGGGCUAAUACCCUCGAGGAAGGACAUCACCCACAGAAGAAGCACCGGCUAACUCCGUGCCAGCAGCCGCGGUAAUACGGAGGGUGCGAGCGUUAAUCGGAAUUACUGGGCGUAAAGCGCGCGUAGGCGGUCUGAUAAGCCGGUUGUGAAAGCCCCGGGCUCAACCUGGGAACGGCAUCCGGAACUGUCAGGCUAGAGUGCAGGAGAGGAAGGUAGAAUUCCCGGUGUAGCGGUGAAAUGCGUAGAGAUCGGGAGGAAUACCAGUGGCGAAGGCGGCCUUCUGGACUGACACUGACGCUGAGGUGCGAAAGCGUGGGUAGCAAACAGGAUUAGAUACCCCAUAGUC